RNAcentral lists this ribosomal RNA (273 nucleotides) under uncultured bacterium. RNAcentral describes it as "partial 16S ribosomal RNA". It matches the Rfam family "Bacterial small subunit ribosomal RNA", at positions 1219 to 1500 of the family's 1533-position model. The record is from RNAcentral.
CACGUGUUACAAUGGCAGGUACAGAGGGAUGCUACCGGGCGACCGGAUGCGGAUCUCGAAAGCCUGUCCCAGUUCGGACUGGAGUCUGCAACCCGACUCCACGAAGUUGGAUUCGCUAGUAAUCGCGCAUCAGCCAUGGCGCGGUGAAUACGUUCCCGGGCCUUGUACACACCGCCCGUCAAGCCAUGGGAGCCGGGGGCGCCUGAAGUCCGGGACCGCGAGGACCGGCCUAGGGCGAAACUGGUAACUGGGGCUAAGUCGUAACAAGGUACC